Molecule: small nuclear RNA, 21 nt
Filed under: Arabidopsis thaliana (thale cress)
Lineage: Eukaryota; Viridiplantae; Streptophyta; Magnoliopsida; Brassicales; Brassicaceae
Description: snRNA_17422
Source: RNAcentral
UCAAUGUAGAUGCUCUAAUGG